RNAcentral lists this ribosomal RNA (428 nucleotides) under uncultured microorganism. Its description in RNAcentral is "bacterial SSU rRNA". It matches the Rfam family "Bacterial small subunit ribosomal RNA", at positions 9 to 443 of the family's 1533-position model. The record is from RNAcentral.
GAGUUUGAUCGUGGCUCAGAUUGAACGCUGGCGGCAUGCCUUACACAUGCAAGUCGAACGGUAACAGGUCUUCGGAUGCUGACGAGUGGCGAACGGGUGAGUAAUACAUCGGAACGUGCCCGAUCGUGGGGGAUAACGAAGCGAAAGCUUUGCUAAUACCGCAUACGAUCUACGGAUGAAAGCAGGGGACCGCAAGGCCUUGCGCGAACGGAGCGGCCGAUGGCAGAUUAGGUAGUUGGUGGGAUAAAGCUUACCAAGCCGACGAUCUGUAGCUGGUCUGAGAGGACGACCAGCCACACUGGGACUGAGACACGGCCCAGACUCCUACGGGAGGCAGCAGUGGGGAAUUUUGGACAAUGGGCGAAAGCCUGAUCCAGCCAUGCCGCGUGCAGGAUGAAGGCCUCGGUUGUAACGUAGCUUUGUUACGG